CGUGAUUUCAUGAAUCAGCUUAGAUAAUUUAAACAGUCAUUAGAUCAAAUUCAAAACAGUAGAUUAAAUCAGAAAUCUCUUAAAUGAUUUUAUUUUGUGAAUUAUCAUCAGAAAUACUCUAUUGUGUGUGUAUUUUUUUCAAGUUGUCAUCUCAAUUAUUAGAACAAUUUACUGUAUUAACAUACAGUCAAUUCUCGUUAUUCGCGAAAAUUUUAUUUAUAGCCACAAAAUCGACUUUCGCACUUAUUCGCGGACUCCCGCUGAGCGGUAAAAUACUACUACCAAUGCAAAUCCUCUUUUUUUGCUAAUAAAAGUUUUGUUACCAAACGUAGUCUGUGUCGUUCUGCCAGAAAAGUCUCAUUACCUAUCCUUGUUCAUUCCAUAGACUGCAGGUCAAAAGCCUGU
This 405-nucleotide long non-coding RNA is filed under the name Androctonus crassicauda. The record is from RNAcentral. Lineage: Eukaryota; Metazoa; Arthropoda; Arachnida; Scorpiones; Buthidae.